This 496-nucleotide ribosomal RNA is filed under the name uncultured bacterium. RNAcentral describes it as "partial 16S ribosomal RNA". It matches the Rfam family "Bacterial small subunit ribosomal RNA", at positions 28 to 506 of the family's 1533-position model. The record is from RNAcentral.
GAUGAACGCUGGCGGCGUGCCUAAUACAUGCAAGUCGAGCGAACAGACGAGGAGCUUGCUCCUCUGACGUUAGCGGCGGACGGGUGAGUAACACGUGGAUAACCUACCUAUAAGACUGGGAUAACUUCGGGAAACCGGAGCUAAUACCGGAUAAUAUAUUGAACCGCAUGGUUCAAUAGUGAAAGACGGUUUUGCUGUCACUUAUAGAUGGAUCCGCGCCGCAUUAGCUAGUUGGUAAGGUAACGGCUUACCAAGGCGACGAUGCGUAGCCGACCUGAGAGGGGGAUCGGCCACACUGGAACUGAGACACGGUCCAGACUCCUACGGGAGGCAGCAGUAGGGAAUCUUCCGCAAUGGGCGAAAGCCUGACGGAGCAACGCCGCGUGAGUGAUGAAGGUCUUCGGAUCGUAAAACGCUGUUAUUAGGGAAGAACAAAUGUGUAAGUAACUAUGCACGUCUGGACGGUACCUAAUCAGAAAGCCACGGCUAACUACGU